RNAcentral lists this long non-coding RNA (1599 nucleotides) under Setaria viridis. RNAcentral's name for it is "long non-coding RNA (SVIR_LNC000828)". The record is from RNAcentral. Lineage: Eukaryota; Viridiplantae; Streptophyta; Magnoliopsida; Poales; Poaceae.
AUCUCCUCCAAACCGCUGCCGCUGUCUGGUGGAGGACACGCCGCCCCUUCACCGCCUCCUCGCCACCUGACAACAGAGGUAAAACAGUUAAAUCAUAUUCUAUCUAUCAUCAAUGUAGAAACAAACUUGAUAUGGGAAACUGCAAAAAUAUUGUGGUAGGGUGAAAUAAAGGAUAACAAUUUUGAACAAUUCCACACACGUUAAAUACCUUUACAAUUUGAAGUGUUAAGAGCCGUGAUUCUUACUGAAGAAAAUUCAGAUGUCCUGAUAUAGGGGUGGUAAAGGAUCCAAAGUUUAGGCUAAAAAUUUUAAGGAUGAAGCUAAAAAAAUGGCUGGACUGAAAAUUUAUAUGUUUUUGAACUAAAAUGAGCUAGGGGAUGAGUCGGAUUGUGAAAGGGCAUUAUGUUAGGAUCAUGAUCCAUUAGCAGAUAUGAACUGAAUCCCUACUGAAGAAAAUUCAGAUGUCCUGAAUAGGGGAUGGACUCCAUGAUGGCUUGGUCAAUCUUCAUCUGUUGCUGCGGAUCCAUCCCCAUGAUGGUGCUUCUGUGUUCUUAUUCUCCAAUGACUCCUUUGGAUCAUUUUCUCCCACUAAUCUCUGCAUUUCAUUCUACAGAAUAAAUGAAAAAUACGAGUCAACAUUUACCUUUAGCAUCAAAAGAUAUCCCUCAAUGGAUCUAUAGUAAAUCAAAUAUUCAGAUUAGUUGCAUAUAUUACACAAAAUUUUGUCUUCUCAACAAACAUAUGACAUAACCAAGUAUUCAUGCUCACUGCUAAAUCAGAUGGUACAGUGCGUUCCUAUGAAUUAAUCCAACAGCAUGGCACUGAGAAGAAAGGUGUGCAUAGGGAACUUAUGACUUCAUAUAUUACUACUGAACGAAAGGUGUAUACCCUUUUUAUGAAGCAUUGCCAUAAGCAUAUCAAAUAUCGCAAUCCCUACUUUCCAUUAUGAAUUCCUACUCAGAUGACAUGGCAUCGAUAAGCCAUCUGGCAUUGCACAAAAAGUGGCAAAAUAAUUAUGUACUAUCAGGGAAUGCUUCUGCAGCUUUCAAAUAAGGUGAGCCUAUGUAUCCACUGCAGUACAUAAGUAGAUACUUGAAGCCUCAAAAAGAAUCAUUACAAACAUAACAACAUCUGUAAUGCAUCUUUUUUUUAAUUUGCAACAGUGGGUACAUCACUUCUGUGCACACGUAGAUUGUCCUCUUUACAAUUUGACAGUUUAAACUCUACAUAGAUAAACCAAAGUGGUGCCAUUUCUGUCUAUUGUUUUAAACAGAACAUAUGAAUGAAUUAUUUUAAUGUAACACUCCUUGUGAAAAUAAGCACCUAGAUAGUGGUUAACCGGUAAUGGAACUGUACUUCUACAUCUGCAAAAUUGCUAACCAGGGGGAAGGUGCUAAUUCUUAUGGUCAUAUCCAGGGGGAUGUACUAUUUGUAUCCAGGGAAGAGCUCAAUGCAUCAUUUUAUUUUUGUAGAUGGCUGUAUACCAAUAUUUAUUGUCAAACAUGGCAGCAGCAAAAAUUCUGUGGCAAGAACAGCACAGAUCAAGCAGCUAAUAGGAAGCUAAUAUCCUGUACCAGCAAAUUGGAGAGCAUCACCCAU